CCUACGGGAGGCAGCAGUGGGGAAUCUUGCGCAAUGGGCGAAAGCCUGACGCAGCCAUGCCGCGUGAAUGAUGAAGGUCUUAGGAUUGUAAAAUUCUUUCACCGGGGGACGAUAAUGACGGUACCCGGAGAAGAAGCCCCGGCUAACUUCGUGCCAGCAGCCGCGGUAAUACGAAGGGGGCUAGCGUUGCUCGGAAUUACUGGGCGUAAAGGGAGCGUAGGCGGAUAGUUUAGUCAGAGGUGAAAGCCCAGGGCUCAACCUUGGAAUUGCCUUUGAUACUGGCUAUCUUGAGUGUGGGAGAGGUUAGCGGAACUCCGAGUGUAGAGGUGAAAUUCGUAGAUAUUCGGAAGAACACCAGUGGCGAAGGCGGCUAACUGGCCCAUUACUGACGCUGAGGCUCGAAAGCGUGGGGAGCAAACAGGAUUAGAUACCCUGGUAGUCCACGCCGUAAACGAUGAGUGCUAGUUGUCGGCAUGCAUGCAUGUCGGUGACGCGAGCUACGACAUAAGUACACUCCGCCGUCGGGAGGUACGGUCGGCGAGAUAAACUACAANAGAAGUUAGACGGCGNGAGACGUGCCGAACGGACGACCGACGAGGGAGGUAGG
RNAcentral lists this ribosomal RNA (607 nucleotides) under uncultured bacterium. RNAcentral describes it as "bacterial SSU rRNA". The stretch from base 1 to 520 matches the Rfam family "Bacterial small subunit ribosomal RNA", at positions 338 to 873 of the family's 1533-position model. The record is from RNAcentral.